AGCAGCCGCGGUAAUUCCAGCUCCAAUAGCGUAUAUUAAAGUUGUUGCAGUUAAAAAGCUCGUAGUUGAACUUCAGGCCUGUCCAGAUGGUCCGCCUUAAUUGGUGUGUACUGUCCUUGGGUGGGUCCUACCUUCUGGCGAAGCGGCAUGGCCUUAAUUGGGUUGUGUCGGGGAACCAGGACUUUUACUGUGAAAAAUUAGAGUGUUCAAAGCAGGCAUAUAUGCUCGAAUACAUUAGCAUGGAAUAAUGGAAUAGGACGAUGGUUCUAUUUUGUUGGUUCUAGGACCGUUGUAAUGAUUAAUAGGGAUAGUUGGGGGCAUUAGGUAUUCAAUUGUCAGAGGUGAAAUUCUUGGAUUUAUUGAAGACUAACUACUGCGAAAGCAUUUGCCAAGGAUGUUUUCAUUAAUUCAAGAACGAAAGUUAGGGGAUACGAAGACGAUCAGAUACCGUCGUAGUCUUAACCAUAAACUAUGCCGACUAGGAAUCGGGCGAUGUUGACAAAAUGACUCG
This 511-nucleotide ribosomal RNA is filed under the name uncultured Paraglomeraceae. RNAcentral's name for it is "bacterial SSU rRNA". It matches the Rfam family "Eukaryotic small subunit ribosomal RNA", at positions 569 to 1078 of the family's 1831-position model. Lineage: Eukaryota; Fungi; Glomeromycota; Glomeromycetes; Paraglomerales. The record is from RNAcentral.